GCGGGCGUGAUGGAAUGGCAGACAUGCCGGCUUUAGGUGCCGGUGCUCGAAAGAGCGUGGGGGUUCAAGUCCCCCCGCCCGCACCA
RNAcentral lists this transfer RNA (86 nucleotides) under Mycolicibacterium sp. Its description in RNAcentral is "tRNA-Leu". It matches the Rfam family "tRNA". From Rfam's summary of the family: Transfer RNA (tRNA) molecules are approximately 80 nucleotides in length. Their secondary structure includes four short double-helical elements and three loops (D, anti-codon, and T loops). Lineage: Bacteria; Bacillati; Actinomycetota; Actinomycetes; Mycobacteriales; Mycobacteriaceae. The record is from RNAcentral.